RNAcentral lists this ribosomal RNA (388 nucleotides) under uncultured bacterium. RNAcentral describes it as "bacterial SSU rRNA". It matches the Rfam family "Bacterial small subunit ribosomal RNA", at positions 30 to 419 of the family's 1533-position model. The record is from RNAcentral.
AUUGAACGCUGGCGGCAUGCCUUACACAUGCAAGUCGAACGGCAGCGGACCUUCGGGUGCCGGCGAGUGGCGAACGGGUGAGUAAUAUAUCGGGAACGUACCUUUCAGUGGGGGAUAACGUAGCGAAAGUUACGCUAAUACCGCAUAUUCUGUGAGCAGGAAAGCAGGGGAUCGCAAGACCUUGCGCUGAUUGAGCGGCCGAUAUCAGAUUAGCUAGUUGGUGAGGUAAAGGCUCACCAAGGCGACGAUCUGUAGCGGGUCUGAGAGGAUGAUCCGCCACACUGGAACUGAGACACGGUCCAGACUCCUACGGGAGGCAGCAGUGGGGAAUUUUGGACAAUGGGCGCAAGCCUGAUCCAGCCAUGCCGCGUGAGUGAAGAAGGCCUGG